This 202-nucleotide long non-coding RNA is filed under the name Nicotiana benthamiana. RNAcentral describes it as "long non-coding RNA (NBEN_LNC000069)". Lineage: Eukaryota; Viridiplantae; Streptophyta; Magnoliopsida; Solanales; Solanaceae. The record is from RNAcentral.
GAGUUGGUACCUCCCGCUCUCUUGCACAUUUCGUAUACCUUUUCACGUAUUUUAGCUAGCAUCCAGAGUGUGUUAUAUUCUGUUGUUAUCUAGUUUGAUACAUUUGCGUUUUUCGCUAUAGUGCGUGUGUGUGCUACUAUACCCCAUAUCGGUUGGUGGGAUAGUGGCCGCGGUGGGAGAUGAUAGCGUAAGGUCAUGUCCU